Molecule: transfer RNA, 86 nt
Filed under: Firmicutes bacterium CAG:822
Lineage: Bacteria; Bacillati; Bacillota
Rfam family: tRNA
About the family: Transfer RNA (tRNA) molecules are approximately 80 nucleotides in length. Their secondary structure includes four short double-helical elements and three loops (D, anti-codon, and T loops). Further hydrogen bonds mediate the characteristic L-shaped molecular structure. tRNAs have two regions of fundamental functional importance: the anti-codon, which is responsible for specific mRNA codon recognition, and the 3' end, to which the tRNAs corresponding amino acid is attached (by aminoacyl-tRNA synthetases). tRNAs cope with the degeneracy of the genetic code in two manners: having more than one tRNA (with a specific anti-codon) for a particular amino acid; and 'wobble' base-pairing, i.e. permitting non-standard base-pairing at the 3rd anti-codon position.
Source: Rfam by way of RNAcentral
GCCUGAGUGGCGAAAUAGGUAGACGCACAGGACUUAAAAUCCUGCGGGAGUCAAAUCCCGUGCCGGUUCAAGUCCGGCCUCAGGCA